ACGCAUGGAGCUGUCACGGUAAAAGUCACGUUCCAAGUUGCUUUAUUGUUCAAUUAAUUUCUAGUUUCGCUGCCACCACGCAUUGGCUGCUUAUUUAAGAUGGCCAAAAACGAGGGGCUCGCAAAAAUUACAGCCACAAUCCUAUUAGCCGCCUCCAUGCCUCUUUGCUUGCCUCCCCACGCAUAAAUUGCAUUUCUCUCUCCAUUGUUUGCUGUUUGCUAUCUCUUUCCCUGCUAGUUGCACUUUGAUGCGCACACAGUCGCAGGAUUCUAAUGAGAUCGGGUGUGUGUGUGUGUGUGGGAGGUGUGGGAGUGGCACACAAAUCAAAAGCAUUUUUGUCAGCAUUUCGGUGGCUUCCGCCAGCGGCAGUGGUUGGGGGAGGUAUGGGGCGUGGCUCCUGCUCGAAACGGGGACACAUCCUGCGUGAGGCAUUUGAAAAUAAUACGCAUCGGAGGCUCUGCACUUGAUAGUUUGCCUAGGCUUCUUGCUCUCACACUCUCUCUCUAUAAAAAGGCAGAACGGAAUCACCAUAGCCAGGAACUGUUUGUUAAUGCCCUUGGAGAGGGUGUUAAAUUUAUAGGAAAAUGUUUGUAAGUCCAUAAAAGUGCUACAGAUAUGAUUAUGGUUUUGACAUCCUUUGAAAUGUGUCUAAAGAUUUAUACCAUAAAUACUUAAUAAAAUAUUUUACAAUAUUA
This is a long non-coding RNA of Drosophila kikkawai, 695 nucleotides long. RefSeq lists it as uncharacterized. Lineage: Eukaryota; Metazoa; Arthropoda; Insecta; Diptera; Drosophilidae. The record is from RefSeq and is a predicted model, not a curated record.